This is a long non-coding RNA of Cherax quadricarinatus, 6370 nucleotides long. RefSeq lists it as uncharacterized. Lineage: Eukaryota; Metazoa; Arthropoda; Malacostraca; Decapoda; Parastacidae. The record is from RefSeq and is a predicted model, not a curated record.
UAUAUAUAUAUAUAUAUAUAUAUAUAUAUAUAUAUAUGUAAACCCCGAAAAGAACUGGUGGAUGGAUUUCAAAUGGACCUUGUUAUCGAUACAAACAAAUCAAUUGUUAUCGAUUGUUGUACAAUUGCGGUGUGUCACGUAUGAUUUAUGCAGAUAUAAUUUUAAUGAGUUUGACAUGUUUUAAGUUUCUGCUUGUUCAAUUACUUUCCCUCAUAUACUCCAAUUAUUUCACGUUCUUGUCUUCUGCAUCACCACUCGUGUUCUGGUAGUACGGUGCGACGAAGAUUUGGUGCCCAACUCGAAAGUGUUAUCAAACCUCAAAUCAAAAUUCUGUCCCCCGAUCUACAUAUGUAUAAAUAGUCAACUUCAUCAUACUAAUAGCUGCCAUGACAACCAGUCAUUAUCCCGCAUCAUACUGUAAAUAAAUCCCCCUUCCCCCAUCCCCAGCUUGUGAGGCACUAUUAGAAACAUAGCGGUAGAUUUAAGAAAGUUCCUCAAAGAAAUUUCCGAUAUACAUGUAAAGUAGUGUGAGUUUCGCUAGUUGCAUUUGUAAGAGGUUAGCUUCCGACUGAGCAGGUGACUCCAUAGUAAGAGCAGUUCUCAGUAGUGGUUAGCGUGGGCAGAACAGACCUCCACUGUGUGGAAUACCAGUAAUGAGUCUUCGGCAUCAUGCCAAUGUUUACGUCGGAGUUAUAGUAGCGCCCUAGUUCCUACAGGAGGAUCUUUUCUUUAGUUCUCCCCCUGGGAGGAACGGCGCUCUGUGGAUCGGGGUAACUAUGCUAUUUUGUAUGCUCUUGAGUCUUGACAACUCUUCACGUGGAAGCUUGAAAGAUCUCAGGGCACCGAAAAUGUGGCUUACAAAAAAAAACCCUGACUGUUAAUUGUAUAGGUCUGUGCAUUGUUUGUCUCUGUUGACCAAUGUCUGAUGCACUUCAAUUCUCACUGAGUCUUGCCUCCACUUGCUGUGUUGCCCGAGUUAAUGUGUGUGUGCCUCUAACAAGUUUGUUUUGCAUAUGACGCUCUUAAUUUUAUCUGAUCGCACCGAAGUUUAAAAGAAAAAAGCAUUAAAGAAAAACAAUAAGCUUAAUAAUAUUAAAUGAAGCCAACAUACUGCCUACAGGUGAUGUUUGAUAAAUUACAUUCCAGCCGAGCAUGAUCAUCCAUCAAGCCCCCUUGUUUUUGACCAGUUCCCUGAACCAAUCGUGAAUAAUGCAUAUCACACCCAUGUCGCCCUGGACGCUGGUUGUCACAACAGCAGCUUUUCUGUACCACUGUUUUCCUACGAAGGAUUCCUGAAGAGUGCCCCGGGCGGCCACCACAGACCUGGGAGGGCCGCGCUGGGCCUCACUAGUGACAACGUAGUGUCCACGGCAGCGCUGACUAUCAGCCCGCGACCCGACGGCCCAACCUAAGUCAGGUCGGGCCGCGCCGGGCCGCACCACACGCAGGACCUCACUCGGUGCGGCCCAACUCGUGCUUUCAAAAGCUACGUGAGUAGAAGAAGGUACGGAGAGUCGCGCGUGUUGCUGCUGUCUGGGGCUUGGUGUGGGUCGGGUGACACUGGAGCCUCAUUCUUUCUCGUUACACAGCCCGGCCCCCGCCUGGCCCGCGCCUGGCCCGCCAACUGCCAUAUUUACUCCUGGCUGGGUCCUGCUGGCCAGCAGGAGGGGCGGCCGCAGCCCCCUCACCAGCUUCUAGGGCUAGGUCUGCUAUUUAGCUCCCGCCAUGUUUGUUUGCUCCCUCGUUACUUGCCUAGUUACCAUAUUUGUGAUCCAAAACUUCGUAAGUAUUUUACUUGAAUUGCUGUAGAGGAAGUAUCCUGCUAGGCUUCAUGCUAGUGCCUGCCGCCCAGCCGGGCCGCGCCAGGAGCCCGGCCCGCACCGGCCCGCCCAAUAUGAGGGGGUGGGGGCGGCGGCGGCCCGGGCAGAGGACGCGUGUCAACAUAUCGCCCGGGAGGGUAUCGUAGCGCGCUACGUCGUGCCGGAUAUCACUAGGGACGUCUUUUUCCAAGUGUGGGGAUUUUAUGGAGUGAAAGUUAUUAUGAUGAUCAUUAUUGCCAUUAUGGUUAUCAAUAAUAUUAUUAUUACCAUAAUUAUUAAAUAAGACAUGCCACAUCGUACCACUUGUAGAUAAUGAUUUGUAUCAGAACAAUAAAAAAGCAAUAGUAUCCAUUGUUUUAUUUUAUUCAUUUUUAUGCGAUACUGAGGAAUUCAAAUUAAAUUGUGCAGUUCAGAGUUUCAGAUUUACCAGCCAUCACGUCCUCUGACAACAUCCACUGGCAGGCUGACAACGCAAAGAAGAAAAAGCAUUUACCAUCACUUGCACCCAAGCUGUCUUUCCACUAAGAUAAACUCAUUCUCACCCGUCUGUCUUAAUGCAGGCACAGUACUUCCGAUUUGCAAAACCUAAUACCGGCUAACUUGUUUCCACGAAUCACUUCGGUCUGACAAAAAAGACCAAUUCCCUUAAAAAGAAAAUCGUCUCGAUUCUUUCAGAUCUAAAAUACACAUGCCUUCACAACCACCUUCCAACUCAUUUUAGGAUAUCCACUACGCCUACUCCUUCUGCAGGAAACUCAGGGAUUCUUUGAUAUCCCUAAGUCACUCCACAUUGAUUUUAACUCUGAACAAGAUUGCCCAGAAGAAUAACAUCUCCCGGUAACCCAAGAAGAGCUUCCAGAUUUGCUUCAAGAAUCCCAUCUGCAAGAUCUAAUUUUGGAAGAGUUACCGCCCAUACGGGUAAAGGAAUUGACACCCACAUGAUAAACAAAGCAAAGAAGAUAACAGGAAAUUCUGGAUUCACGCUACUAAAGUUAAUGGACAGUCAGUUAAUGGCUCGGCGAUUAGAAAGUGGAAAUAUAUCUUACGGAUACCUGGAGGAUGUUACAGGGGUCAACGCCCCCGCGUUGACCCCCGUACAAUAGUAUUAACUCCUUGAGAUUAUGGAGGAAAUGCGUUUUAAAUAACCAUUAAAUAUAAUUACCUUUAAAAUGGCGAACUUUUGUCUGAUCAAGAGAGGUAAAUGGUGACAAUUAGUUUAACUGUAAUCAUCACCAUUGUUAAGGUAAAAGAAAUAUUACUCAAGGUAAACUAUGAUUGAUAUACACAACUAUGUAACAAAAAAUAUAAUGGAAAUAUGCACCAAAAGCUUUGAAACUGGACUCUGUAACCAGAGUUUAGGAUUGAGGGCACUUUGUAAAUAUAAUAAAAAAUAAUAAUAUAGACAAACCAUAACUGAACUAUGUUAAGAAUGGAAAUAACCCAGAGAAAAUUAGGUGGAUACAUUGAAUUAAUUCGCAGUAAAAUGAUAUUUAGUAUAAUUACUGGGAACUCUAUUGUAACAGUAAAGUAAAUAUCCUCAAUACCUCACCAGAAUUAAGUUUGUAAAAUUGAUUAUGUCAUUUAAAUAGGAACAACUAUCAUGUGUCAUCAAAUAAUUUUUCAGGAUUCUCACUGUGCGAAACGAUUAUUUUUAAUAGAGUUUUGCUCUAUCUACGUCUUUUAUUUCCUAUGAUGCAGCUCCAGACGCCGCGGCUAUAAUUAAAAAUUAUCCAUCAAUGCACCACUCGUCAACCCAUUAACCAAAUAAGAGGUCAACCCGUCAACCCAAUUCAGUCUCCACCAAAUGGCGAAAAAUAUAUAGUGAACCUGGCAGCCUCAGCGGCCAACACAAUGAUUCUUGUCUGGUAAUGAGUUCAUAUAUUUGCUUAGGAUUAUUUGAGGUUAAUUUGUGUUAAAUACUUGUGACAUAAUUAAUGUAGUCUACAACGUUUUAUGUUAGUUGUGUAGAUGUUAUUUAGAUAUUCUUAAAUUACCUCAUCUCUAAUUAAAAAGAAAAUAAUGGACGCUAAUUUAUUUUAUAAAGUAAUUGUAUAAUAGUAUUAUUAAGGUAACUAGUUUAUUAACUCCUGUUGAGAAAAAAUCAUAAUUUUGUAGACAUAAUUUCUACAUAGGUAGUAAGCUUACGCAAAUAUGUUUCAAAUCACACACGCAUUUCGAACUCUAAACUAAACACAACAUUUCGUACUCUAAGUUGAAUCAAUAAUCGUGGAUCUAAAAGUAAUAAUGCAUUCACUGAGUACAGCAGAGACUUGUGGCACUCAUUUCAACUUAAUCCUUGGAAUUCUUAGCUAAUCCCUAGCUAAUUAAUUAAAUGGCCUAGCUUCAGAAGACGGGUUUGCAUUGAAAGGCUUCAGUAUUUUGUUUCUAACCCUCCCUCUAUUGUGCAUUUGCGUAUGUAGCCACAGAUCCAGUGAAAUGGAAGAGGCCAGCCAAUGCAACCCAUGGUACCUACUGAGUUCUUAAUCUCAUAACUACGGCAAUGUGACGGCCCACAGAAGAUUGUUAUUUAGCCCAAAGAGAAACAAAGCCAUACCAAAUUCAUUAUUCUCUGACUUCUAUUUCAGGAGAACUGGGGUAAGGGAUAAGUCGAGGAUUUGUAGGUGUUUCUGUAGCCCCGGUGCCCAGUUCAUGCUCUCCAGAGUGUGAAAUAGUGACAGCCAAGUUUGUGUAUGUCGGUGAUAUGUCUUCCUUCGACACAGUAGUGGCCAUGAACAAUCAUUCAGCAAGAUCAGCACUCAGCCGUAGUUGCAGCAGUCAACUGUCUCUCUCCCCGUUUCAGCAACUCCUAAACUUCCCAAACUGGAACAGGAACUAGAAAACGGGGAAACUCAAAACCAUUUGUUUUAAAGAGAAAUGUAAAAAAAAAAAAAUAAUAUUCAUGGUUUCACAUACAUUUUGCAAUAUGAAAUAUAGUCUCAUCAAAAUAAAAUUCUUUCAUAUAUAUUAAAAUUAUUUUCCAACAUGUUUACAAUGAUUUUUUAUAUUUUUCAGAAGUCACAGAAGAUCAGAUAACGUUGAAGGGUAUAUAAUAAUCACCAGCCAUUUGUGUCUCUCCUCACCUCAGUACCCACUACACCAUCUAGACUGGAAAGAAGUUUUAAAAUUUACGUAGUGCUGGAAUAAACAGGUACUGACCUGCACCUCAGCAGUCAUACAACACCCAGCAAAACAGAAAUUGCCAAAAUAAUUAAAAAUGUGCACCAUAGUCAUGAGUGGCACCAUUGGCACCUCUGUGGGCACUUAUUCAUGACCACUGAUCUUCAUUUCAAGGAUUCCCUUGCAAUGCUAUGAAUAACAGCACGAUCAGACUGAAGUACCCAUAAGUUUAUGGUGCCCAGAAGCUGAAAUACACCCACUUCACUGACUGUACCACAAGAGUACUCCUAGUCAGGCACUAGGCUUACAACAGGAUAACCUUCUAUGGGGAGGUGCGACAACCACUACAUCAUUGCUGUCGGAAAGAGUGAAGAGAAGGCUCCGGGCAAUAGUCAAUUCCAUGUCACUAUAGGCAAAUCUGAGGCGAAAGAGAAAGUAUCUUCAUCAAGCUAUGAAUUACUGGACUCUUAAAUCAGAGGGACUCUGCCCACGGCGCCUGCAGCCGAAGAGUACACACCUCCAGGAGUGCACCGCCGCCUACGAAAAGUGGAACCUACCCACAGGGUCUUCCUGAGUGGAGCCCGCCCAUAGUGCCUCCCACAGUGAAGCACAUCUAGUGACUGCCUUCUUUAAUAGAGCCCGUCCGUAGUGAGGGCUCCCAGAGUGUAUCCUUAACUGAUAAGAGCACUCUCGUAGGACCUUCUUAGAGUGUACUCUGUUCAAAGUCAUUAUCCUAGCCAAGAAUUACCUAUUCGUGGCUUAUUUUUAGUUUAAUGACUGAUGCUGUGGACUUUAUCCACAGACUUCAUAUACUGGACUGUUGUCAAAAUUGUUGUACUCUGUCCAGUAUUAUUGCAUUAUGUCCACUGUAAACUUCCGUUCCUUCAUAGCAUGUAAACUACACGAUUUGCCAUUGUAGCAAAGUUAUCUAAACGUUAUAACUAGUAACUGCCAUAUUACGGUGGUUACCUGGAGUUAACUGGAAAGGUAAACUCCAGGUAGCCACCAUAAUGUGGAGGUUACUAGUUAUGACGUUCAGAUAACACCGUUACAAUGGCAAAUCGUGUAGUUUACAUGCUAGGAAGGACCUGAAGUUUAGAUUAUAUUGAUACAGUGUAAACCAUGUUCUGCUUGCUGGGUGCUUUACCUUUAUAUUCCAUAUCCCUUCUCCCUCCUUCCAAACUUGCCACUCCUUACGAGUGGUCACCAGCAUAUCACCAUUAGCUCUCAAGCUGUUGGUGAGAGAUUUCCAGUGGUAACCUGGCUACCUCUGGAAAUCCUAAAGUACCCUUCGGUUCGUGGUUUAGGGUUCCAUGUAACAAACGUUUUCUCACUGAGAUCCUCAAGACUAAGAUUUUCUUUCUUACGAAAGCCUUCGAACCGUAAGAUUUUCACUGUGAACAUUUGGACGAUUCACCCUUGUCCGGCUCACU